Molecule: ribosomal RNA, 617 nt
Filed under: Pseudonocardia sp. YIM 75033
Lineage: Bacteria; Bacillati; Actinomycetota; Actinomycetes; Pseudonocardiales; Pseudonocardiaceae
Description: bacterial SSU rRNA
Rfam family: Bacterial small subunit ribosomal RNA
Source: RNAcentral
CUUUCGGGGGUACACGAGCGGCGAACGGGUGAGUAACACGUGGGUGACCUGCCCUCAGCUCUGGGAUAAGCCUGGGAAACUGGGUCUAAUACCGGAUAUGACCUGCUGUUGCAUGACAGUGGGUGGAAAGUUUUUUCGGCUGGGGAUGGGCCCGCGGCCUAUCAGCUUGUUGGUGGGGUGAUGGCCUACCAAGGCGACGACGGGUAGCCGGCCUGAGAGGGCGACCGGCCACACUGGGACUGAGAUACGGCCCAGACUCCUACGGGAGGCAGCAGUGGGGAAUAUUGCGCAAUGGGCGAAAGCCUGACGCAGCGACGCCGCGUGGGGGAUGACGGCCUUCGGGUUGUAAACCUCUUUCGACCGGGACGAAGCGUGAGUGACGGUACCGGUAGAAGAAGCACCGGCCAACUACGUGCCAGCAGCCGCGGUAAUACGUAGGGUGCGAGCGUUGUCCGGAAUUAUUGGGCGUAAAGAGCUCGUAGGCGGUGUGUCGCGUCGGUCGUGAAAACUUGGGGCUUAACCCUGAGCGUGCGGUCGAUACGGGCAUCACUUGAGUUCGGCAGGGGAGACUGGAAUUCCUGGUGUAGCGGUGAAAUGCGCAGAUAUCAGGAGGAACA